UGGUUCUGGCAUCGAUGAAGAACGCAGCGAAAUGCGAUAAGUAAUGUGAAUUGCAGAAUUCAGUGAAUCAUCGAAUCUUUGAACGCACAUUGCGCCCGCUAGUACUCUAGCGGGCAUGCCUGUUCGAGCGUCAUUUCAACCCUCAAGCCCCGGCUUGGUGUUGGGGAUCAGCUAGUGAUAGCUGGCCCUGAAAUCUAGUGGCGGUCUCGCUGUAGCUUCCUCUGCGUAGUAGCACACCUCGCUCUGGGAAACAGCGCGGCUCAGCCGUAAAACCCCCCACUUCUUAAAGGUUGACCUCGAAUCAGGUAGGAAUACCCGCUGA
This 322-nucleotide unclassified non-coding RNA is filed under the name uncultured fungus. Its description in RNAcentral is "partial contains 5.8S ribosomal RNA and internal transcribed spacer 2". The stretch from base 1 to 133 matches the Rfam family "5.8S ribosomal RNA", at positions 22 to 154 of the family's 154-position model. The record is from RNAcentral. Lineage: Eukaryota; Fungi.